RNAcentral lists this ribosomal RNA (448 nucleotides) under uncultured bacterium. Its description in RNAcentral is "partial 16S ribosomal RNA". It matches the Rfam family "Bacterial small subunit ribosomal RNA", at positions 329 to 792 of the family's 1533-position model. The record is from RNAcentral.
UGCCAGACUCCUACGGGAGGCAGCAGUGGGGAAUAUUGCACAAUGGGGGGAACCCUGAUGCAGCGACGCCGCGUGGGCGAGGAAGUAUUUCGGUAUGUAAAGCCCUAUCGGCAGGGAAGAAGAAAUGACGGUACCUGAAUAAGAAGCCCCGGCUAACUACGUGCCAGCAGCCGCGGUAAUACGUAGGGGGCAAGCGUUAUCCGGAUUUACUGGGUGUAAAGGGAGCGUAGACGGCAAUACAAGUCGGAAGUGAAAUACCCGGGCUCAACCUGGGAACUGCUUUGGAAACUGUAUGGCUGGAGUGCUGGAGAGGUAAGCGGAAUUCCUUGUGUAGCGGUGAAAUGCGUAGAUAUUAGGAGGAACACCAGUGGCGAAGGCGGCUUACUGGACAGUAACUGACGUUGAGGCUCGAAAGCGUGGGGAGCAAACAGGAUUAGAUACCCUAGUA